UGGGGAAUAUUGGACAAUGGGGGCAACCCUGAUCCAGCAAUGCCGCGUGUGUGAAGAAGGUCUUCGGAUUGUAAAGCACUUUCGACGGGGACGAUGAUGACGGUACCCGUAGAAGAAGCCCCGGCUAACUUCGUGCCAGCAGCCGCGGUAAUACGAAGGGGGCUAGCGUUGCUCGGAAUGACUGGGCGUAAAGGGCGUGUAGGCGGUUUACACAGUCAGAUGUGAAAUCCCCGGGCUUAACCUGGGAGCUGCAUUUGAUACGUGUAGACUAGAGUGUGAGAGAGGGUUUGUGGAAUU
This 297-nucleotide ribosomal RNA is filed under the name uncultured bacterium. RNAcentral describes it as "partial 16S ribosomal RNA". It matches the Rfam family "Bacterial small subunit ribosomal RNA", at positions 355 to 668 of the family's 1533-position model. The record is from RNAcentral.